Molecule: signal recognition particle RNA, 265 nt
Filed under: Macaca nemestrina (pig-tailed macaque)
Lineage: Eukaryota; Metazoa; Chordata; Mammalia; Primates; Cercopithecidae
Description: Metazoan signal recognition particle RNA (ENSMNEG00000000879.1)
Rfam family: Metazoan signal recognition particle RNA
About the family: The signal recognition particle (SRP) is a universally conserved ribonucleoprotein. It is involved in the co-translational targeting of proteins to membranes. The eukaryotic SRP consists of a 300-nucleotide 7S RNA and six proteins: SRPs 72, 68, 54, 19, 14, and 9.
Source: RNAcentral
AACAAAAAAAAAUUUUUUUAAGUUUGAGGUGGGAGUAUCACUUGAGCCUAUGGAUUCUGGUUCAGUGUGCUAUGCCAAUUAGGUGUUCCCACUAAUUGAGUGUUCAGCAUCAAUGUGGUGACCUCCCAGGAGUGGGAGACCACCAGGUUGCCUAAGGAGGGGUGAACCGGAGCAGGUCAAAACUCCUGUGAUGACCAGUAGUGAGAUGUGGCCUGUGAAUAGCUACUGCACUCCAGCCUGGACAACAUAGCAAGAUCCUAUCUCU